Acanthosepion pharaonis is the source of this 115-nucleotide non-coding RNA. The record is from the annotation of a GenBank genome assembly. Lineage: Eukaryota; Metazoa; Mollusca; Cephalopoda; Sepiida; Sepiidae.
UUACGGCUAUAUCACGUUGAAACACCGGUUCUCUUACGAUGACUGAUGUUAAGCAACGUUGAGCUUGGUCAGUACCUAAAUGGGUGACCACUUGGGUAAUACCAGGUGCUGUAAG